Molecule: non-coding RNA, 1022 nt
Organism: Poecilia reticulata (guppy)
Lineage: Eukaryota; Metazoa; Chordata; Actinopteri; Cyprinodontiformes; Poeciliidae
Source: RefSeq, a predicted model, not a curated record
UGCACUCCAGAUAUCCCACUCCGCCAUGACAGAUCAACGACAAAAACAACCAAUCUGCUUCUAACCAGUCUAAAAACAGACAUCUGUAACCUAAUAUCGCUUCUAUAUAGUUGAUUUCACUUUAAAAUGGUCAUAGCAUGCACAAACAGACAUGGAUAAAAACCAAACCUGUCAUUUUCUUUUAUAAAUUUUAAUGAGGAAAGAUACUGCGGCGAUGGAUAACAGCAGUCAGUCAUAAUGACGGUCAGCCCUCGGUGUAAUCCCGGAUUUGCAGCGAAAACUUUUUACAAGUUCUUACCUGCGCUCUCGGUGCGGCACAGGCUGUUGGUGCUGCCGUGUGAUGAAGGUGGUUCCCCACACCGGACUGCUGUGGCUGUUUCUGAGCCAGCCCACAGGGGGCGACGACGGGUAGGAGAAGUUGACGAGGGAUCCAGAUCUGAAGCAGGUGGAGCACACCGAGGUCCUCAAACACAGCACAGAUUUCCUCCUGGGCUCAGGUACAAACGGGCUGCUCACAAAUGUUGGUGAUCUGCAGGUAGACGAUCCAAAGCCGGAUGCAUUUCCCAGAGUUCAUGCGAAAAGUUCUGAAUAGUUGGAGCAUUUUUACUGAUUCCAGAGGUUGAAAUGUAGUUUUUCUGAUGCAAAGCCUUGCAAUUCUCUGCUUGCAUCUUUUAGGCUUGCGACAUUCUGCAGCAAAUCUUGUACAUAGCGUAUGAUAAGUCCUUGGAAGCGCUUCCUGUCUUCUCUAUGAGACAUGCUCAGAAAAUCAGCGUUAAACACCUGGAAUAUUUAGUGCAUCCACAGAUAAAUGCAGAUAAAAUGAGAUAAAGGGAAAGUGAUUUUAUCGCCUGUCAGAGGUCUGCACUUCAGACAACCUUCAGCUGCUGGUUCUGCUGCAGGCUUCACGAAAAUUCAAGACUUCCUUCAUCACUGCCCGAGUAAAAACAGCUUACUUUAAUAAUCCCACUUAUCUGACAGCAAAGAAGAUAUUCUGAUGAAUGAAUUAAAAAUAUAUAAAUAAA